CGCGCCGCGUUGCCAUGGGGACGGGAGGAGCGGGGCCCGGGAGAAAAGGAGGCCCGGGAGUGACCUGGUCAUUCUCCCGUUCCCUGAAAGGAGGCUGCAGCCAGGUUGGACUUCAUGAUUUCAGAGAGUUUCUCCAACCUAAUUGAUUCAGUGAUUCUGUGAAAUUGGUUGGCACAAUCACCCCUACUGCUGGCGGGCCAGGAGCGGCCCGAGGAAGCAUGGGAUGCCAGCGGAUGUGGAAGCCAGUCAGCACAACUGGGUGCAAAAGCAGUGCAGUGCCGUGUGUGCGGCAGGAUGGCCAGGCUAACACGCGUCCUCUCCUCUGUGAUGUGCGUGAGGGCGGUGGUUGGGCGUUCAAAUGGUUUUGCUGCCUCCAUCGUGACAGCACCACCACUGGGAGAAUGCUUUGAUUUCCCAGAGAAAUGUGGUCGCCUUGUUGCAUUAUGUGUCAUCUUUUCUAGCUGCUUCUGAGCAACUGCCAGGCUGCCAAACCCGACUUACUGACGCAGAUAAAAUAAAAAACACCCCAACAUUGUACUCUUUGAACUGAAAACUCCUCCGUGACUAGGAACAGGGACUGGCCCAUGGCGAUGACCUCUCUUGCUGGCUGAGAGGGCAGUCAGUGUUUGUGGUCUGCAGCCCCGUGAGCCUCUUGUCCACAUACAUCAAAAAACUGACUGAAGCCACCCAUAAUGCUGGACUACAGGGGGAAAGAGUGUGUUGUUAAUAAUCAUUUUGAAGUCCUGGGUCUAAGAUGUGAUUUAUUUAUGAAGGGAAGCUGAAUGAGAAAUGCAGUCCUUCAGGUGGGAGCUCUCUGAAGAAAAGAGGCUGACAUUCUGACCUUGGCCACUGACGGGAGUUUUACAUCAGUGAGGCUCCAGAGCUGCUGAGCCAGACUCUGGUCUCUGCACGAAGAGCUUGCUGGGACUCGGCAGUGCAACAGCACUUGACUGUGGCUGAGGGUGAUACAGAGAAGACAGAGCCAGAUUCUAAGGGGUUUUGCACAGCUAAAGACCAGAGAAAGGGGCUGCAAGUUGCAGGUUGGAAUUAGAGUGCAACAAAAGGAAAAAAAAAAAAA
Cyanistes caeruleus (blue tit) is the source of this 1078-nucleotide non-coding RNA. The record is from RefSeq and is a predicted model, not a curated record. Lineage: Eukaryota; Metazoa; Chordata; Aves; Passeriformes; Paridae.